AUAAAAUGAUGAUAACCCUCAUGCGUGUCAUUUGAAUGCAGCUAAUGUAUUUCUGGCUUUUACCAGUUGUAGGUGUUUUGCUUACAGGUGGAAGGGUUAGGAAGCUAGGCUGUAUACAUGAUACAAGUUGGCUUCUGAUUAU
Strongylocentrotus purpuratus (purple sea urchin) is the source of this 142-nucleotide non-coding RNA. Lineage: Eukaryota; Metazoa; Echinodermata; Echinoidea; Camarodonta; Strongylocentrotidae. The record is from Rfam.